RNAcentral lists this ribosomal RNA (400 nucleotides) under uncultured bacterium. Its description in RNAcentral is "bacterial SSU rRNA". It matches the Rfam family "Bacterial small subunit ribosomal RNA", at positions 343 to 742 of the family's 1533-position model. The record is from RNAcentral.
GGGAGGCAGCAGUGAGGAAUAUUGGUCAAUGGACGAGAGUCUGAACCAGCCAAGUAGCGUGAAGGAUGACUGCCUAUGGGUUGUAAACUUCUUUUAUACGGGAAUAAGUGAGCCACGUGUGGCUUUUUGUAUGUACCGUAUGAAUAAGGAUCGGCUAACUCCGUACCAGCAGCCGCGGUAAUACGGAGGAUCCGAGCGUUAUCCGGAUUUAUUGGGUUUAAAGGGAGCGUAGGCGGGUUGUUAAGUCAGUUGUGAAAGUUUGCGGCUCAACCGUAAAAUUGCAGUUGAUACUGGCGACCUUGAGUGCAACAGAGGUAGGCGGAAUUCGUGGUGUAGCGGUGAAAUGCUUAGAUAUCACGAAGAACUCCGAUUGCGAAGGCAGCUUACUGGAUUGUAACUG